Long non-coding RNA from Oxyura jamaicensis (ruddy duck), 3608 nucleotides. RefSeq lists it as uncharacterized. Lineage: Eukaryota; Metazoa; Chordata; Aves; Anseriformes; Anatidae. The record is from RefSeq and is a predicted model, not a curated record. The transcript has 3 exons.
UCAUUCCCGCAGAGCGAUUUUCAUUUUCAUUACUACCCUGUUGCUGCAGAAACUUAAUCUCCGUGAAACGAGAGCCGCUGAGUAGCAAUGAGUCACCCUGGUUCCCGUAAGGAAGCCCCUUCAGGAAGCCUCUCGAGCAGUGAUGUCCUGUGUAGGACAGCGAUCAGCCGCUGAGCUAUUCAGCCUUAACACUGCUGACAGCAUGUAAUACUGCCCCGGAAACUUUCGGAGAUUGCUUGUCGGACACAGCCAGGGCCUGCCUGUGCCCAGGCAGCUAAUCUAGCUGCAGACAGGUCUUGGGCGAGGAAGCCAAGGGAAAGGAGGUACCCUCUUGGCUAUAGAUGGCAAGGGACCAAAAGGUCUGGGAGUCAUUUCGUGAGCACCAGUGGCAACCUGGAAUGCAGUCAGAAAAAAUAAGAGACUGUCUCUGGGGAUCGUGAAGCCAGCUGAGAAGCUGAGCUGCUAAAAACAAUGGUGCUGCUGUAAGUGGCCUGGGGAGAGGAAAGGCUUUGAGGACAGGUUGUGAGCAUGGGGGCACAGUGAAGCUAGUGUGCAAGUUGCCAAAGAGGAGGCAGCUUUUGAGCACUGCACAGAGCCUGUAAUGAAAAGGGCUCAGUAUCCCAGAAACCUUUGGUCCAAGGAUGACAGACAUUUUUCAGGUGGAGAUAGGGACACAGUACAUUUGCCAUCAAUUUUUAAUUGUAACGGAGUAUUCUGUAGUGAUAGGUACUUUCUGCUGUACAGGCUGCCUGCAGCGUGCAGUGGCCUGCUGGAAACCAGCUCGCUGAUAAGGCUGCUACAAGAAGAGCACAGAGGGACUGGAAAAUGUUUCUAAGACACUGCUGGAAUGCUGAAAAAAAAAAUAAUAAUUGUUACACAAAUUGAGCUUUCCUGUAGAAGUCCUGCUACUAAAUCAUAGCUUCAUUUUAGUUUCCUUAGACACAAGAAGUUCGUAUAUGUCUCGUGCUCCACUGGUGCUGAGGAAAUGCAGCCCCUGUGGUUCCUGCUGGGGCCUGAGACACAGCCCUCCGGGGUGAGGUAGGGUGUAGCUGCUGGAAUGCUCAUCUGGGGCUCAGAAGAGUGGGAUUUGGUUCCCUGUGCAGCCACAUGCCUCCUGUGGGCCAAAUUAGCUGAGGAGCUGAGCUUCUGGAGGAGCACUCCUAAUUUCAGAGGGAGCAUGCUGGAGGAUUUGGUCCUCCAAGUUAGAUUUCUGCUUUGUUCUCUUUUCACGUGACUCCCCUCCUGUCUGCCUUAAUCCGACCACUGUUACGUUGGUUGCAGAAGUCUCUGGGAUAAGUAUCUGAAGGGGCUGGUGGGCACCACGGGGCUGUCAUCUCACUUGGUGGCAGCAAGUGAGUCACGGUGACUGAGGCCUGUGAAGGCUGCUAAGAGGACCCGUUGUCGCCAAGUCCUGUGAGACCUUUCCAGCCCAGGAGAUGUUGCUCCUGCCAGGUUGCAGAGGAGUCAAUGGAGAAACAAGGCCCUGGUGCUCUGCUCCUGCCUGGCUGGGGGAGCAGCGGUCUGAAUUUGGGCAGUGUGAGCUCUGGGGGCUCGUGCUGUGAAAGCAGGAUGGGGCUGCUGAGAGGGGCAGGCCCGGCAUCGCAGGGAGGGAUAAAACUGGUGUUGCUGCUCUCACCACCAUAAAUUACGUGAGGGAGAAAUAGUCCGGCCCUGUGCUCCUCGCUCCUCCAGAUGGGAGAGCACUAAGAUCCUAAAUGGCAAAAGAAGAGGAAACAAAGAAUUAAGCACGGCUUUCUGGAUGCUUCCAAGGAAGACAUAAGGGCGAAGGUCGUCCUGGCACUGAGGGGAAGAGAAAAAAGAAACUAAUUUCCAAGGAUUCAACCCUUAAGCACAGUGACGUAGGAAGAAGGAGAUUCUGUUUGUGGAGCAAGUGAGGAAGGAAAUUAAAGACUAGGGAACAAAGAAGCAGUUCACUGAUGCUUUGGGGCAGGGCUAGGUGGUGGGCCUGUUCCAGGGGGAGCUUGUCUACCAGAAGCAGAAGCCACCACCUGCGGCUGCUUCACCCGUGGUGCUGGCAUGCUGUUGUCCCCAGGCCGGGCUGUGAGGAGGUCCAUGUCUGUGCUCGUUCAUCCUCCAGGCCUGGCUCCGUUCCCUCCCCUAGGGGCUGCGGGGCCGGAUGCUUUUUGACUGUUAAAUCCAUUCAUUCUUGAAGGGCUCUACUUCCUUGGAAAGUAAAAUACAUUCUCGAGAAGCGGGUGACCUAAGCUUUGGGAUAUGUCUUGGAAACUGGAAAAUGUCCCAUGUGCUUUGUUCCUGCUGCUAGUGGAAGCCCACAGAAGCUGGUUGGGUCUGUGGCAUCAUUCUGGCUGCAGAUUGUGGCACCCCCAGACCUUUAGCCAAGACCAGCAGAGCUCUUGCAGCCCUCUUCUCCUUGAGGGGUCUCAGAACAUGUCCUUCCUUCAUUUCACGAGGCGACUCAUCACACCACAGAGCCUGCUGGUGUAUCUAGUGAGCUGACGGCAGGUUAGCUGCAGAGAGGCUGUCCCCGAAGGGCUGCGAAUCCUGUCUUAACCAAGCAGGCUGGUGCUUCAGCUUCUCUGCAUCAGCAGUGAGCAUUUGCCGCAGGGGAUAGAGCAGAACUGAGAAAGGAAAAUAGCAGCGGCAGUGACCGGAGUGCUGCACGAAGUCACCUGGCCUGCCUUGAACUGCUGAGCCAGGCACCAGGAGCUGCCCAGGGUGGGCUGAUGACCUCUGUCAGCUCCGUGCAGAGAGGAUGGGAGGCAGGCAGAGACAGCGACACCAAACCAGAAGCCGCAUGCAGGUGACAUGCAGCCACCUCGCAGAACCCUAACAUAUCUUCCAGUUGCUGAUGUCCGGGUAGCUGUGCCAUCUCCAGAGCAAAAAACUUUUGCCAGGCUGGCUGCCCACAGCUUUCCAUUGGAAAUCCCCCAUUUCUAACCCUAACUGCUUUUCUACCAAGGAAGAAGCAUCCCCCCGAGUUUAAAGGUAAGCUCCUCGCGUUCACUGCAGCAUGAAGAUCCGUGGGUAUAAAUCCUGUUCAGAUGACUUUAUAAAGCACCGAAGUACUCCACAGCACCAGGAUUUAACCUUGGCAUGUUCAUUUUCCGUAAUGUGAUUAAGGAGCCUUUCCCCCUGCACAGCAGAUAUCUGAGCGGUUUUUUGUGUACGGAAGAGGAGCAAUUGUCCAGCUUUGCGCAAAUGAGGCGCUACUUCAGUGCUUGCCCUGUGAAGAUACUUCAGUUUCAAUGGGCUUCAAGAUUGCACUUUUGUGUUAAGUGGAGCUGUGAUCUUUUUCCAAUGAGUGUUGCUAUGCAGGGCCAAUUUGUGACGUCCAUUAUUCUAAAAUAAGUAACUUCUGCACAGCAGAAAUAUGCUCCACUUGCACUGCUAAUCUGUCUCUCACACAAAGGCGUGUUUGGAAGAAAAGUUAUUUAUUGCAAGUAAUAAAUGCAGGUUCUCAAAAGCAUUUAUAACUUAGUUUCCAGAGUCAAAGCACUCCAGUUUGAAAUAAUUUCCUUUCAAUUUUCUGUAUUUUCAAUCUCUUUCCUGGCUGUUUUAGACCAUAUAUUGCAUACUUAAUUAUUCUCCAAAGGAGAAUCUCAGCCAUUGAAAAUAGAAUAUACUUA